GCAGGCAGCGGCUACUUCUCCUCUCCAGAGGGAGACGCGGGUUCGAAUCCCGCCGCCGGCU
This 61-nucleotide transfer RNA is filed under the name Streptomyces calvus. RNAcentral describes it as "tRNA-Ser". Lineage: Bacteria; Bacillati; Actinomycetota; Actinomycetes; Kitasatosporales; Streptomycetaceae. The record is from RNAcentral. RNAcentral also lists the same sequence under 1 other name.